AGUGAACGCUGGCGGUAGGCCUAACACAUGCAAGUCGAACGGCAGCACAGGAGAGCUUGCUCUCUGGGUGGCGAGUGGCGGACGGGUGAGGAAUACAUCGGAAUCUACUCUGUCGUGGGGGGUAACGUAGGGAAACUUACGCUAAUACCGCAUACGACCUACGGGUGAAAGCAGGGGACCUUCGGGCCUUGCGCGAUUGAAUGAGCCGAUGUCGGAUUAGCUAGUUGGCGGGGUAAAGGCCCACCAAGGCGACGAUCCGUAGCUGGUCUGAGAGGAUGAUCAGCCACACUGGAACUGAGACACGGUCCAGACUCCUACGGGAGGCAGCAGUGGGGAAUAUUGGACAAUGGGCGCAAGCCUGAUCCAGCCAUACCGCGUGGGUGAAGAAGGCCUUCGGGUUGUAAAGCCCUUUUGUUGGGAAAGAAAUCCAGCUGGCUAAUACCCGGUUGGGAUGGCGGUACCCAAAGAAUAAGCACCGGCUAACUUCGUGCCAGCCGCCGCAGUAA
Molecule: ribosomal RNA, 506 nt
Filed under: uncultured bacterium
Lineage: Bacteria
Description: partial 16S ribosomal RNA
Rfam family: Bacterial small subunit ribosomal RNA
Source: RNAcentral